GACGAACGCUGGCGGAGGGGGGAACACAUGCAAGUCGAACGGAAGGGCCCUGCUUUUGUGGGGUGCUCGAGUGGCGAACGGGUGAGUAACACGUGAGUAUCCUGCCCUUGACUUUGGGAGAACUUCAGGAAACUGGGGCUAAUACCGGAUAGGAGCUCCUGCUGCAUGGGGGGGGUUGGAAAGUUUCGGCGGUUGGGGAUGGACUCGCGGCUUAUCAGCUUGUUGGUGGGGUAGUGGCUUACCAGGGCUUUGACGGGUAGCCGGCCUGAGAGGGUGACCGGCCCACUUGGGCCUGCGAUACGGCCCAGACUCCUACGGGAGGCAGCAGUGGGGAAUCUUGCACAAUGGGCGGAAGCCUGAUGCAGCAACGCCGCGUGCGGGAUGCCGGCCUUCGGGUUGUAAACCGAUUUCGCCUGUGACGAAGCGUGAGUGACGGUACUGGGUCAAGAAGCCCCGGCUAACUACGUG
Molecule: ribosomal RNA, 468 nt
Filed under: uncultured bacterium
Lineage: Bacteria
Description: partial 16S ribosomal RNA
Rfam family: Bacterial small subunit ribosomal RNA
Source: RNAcentral